AACCCUUUGUGAACUUAUACCUAUAUCGUUGCCUCGGCGCUGGCUGCCUCUCCCUCGUGGAGGGGGCCCGCCUCUGGUCGUAAAAAGCCAGGGGAGGACAGCAGGCCCGCCGGUGGCCUACUAAACUCUUGUAUUUAUUGAGUAAAAUCUGAGUAAGCUUCUAAAUGAAUCAAAACUUUCAACAACGGAUCUCUUGGUUCUGGCAUCGAUGAAGAACGCAGCGAAAUGCGAUAAGUAAUGUGAAUUGCAGAAUUCAGUGAAUCAUCGAAUCUUUGAACGCACAUUGCGCCCUCUGGUAUUCCAGAGGGCAUGCCUGUUCGAGCGUCAUUUCAACCCUCAAGCCUAGCUUGGUGUUGGGGCAUUACCUGACUGUUUACAGAAGGGUAAGCCCUGAAAUUUAGUGGCGAGCUCGCCAGGACUCCGAGCGCAGUAGUUAAACCCUCGCUUUGGAUAGUACUGGCGCGGCCCUGCCGUAAAACCCCCAAC
Molecule: ribosomal RNA, 486 nt
Filed under: Cytospora sp. RM-2017e
Lineage: Eukaryota; Fungi; Ascomycota; Sordariomycetes; Diaporthales; Cytosporaceae
Description: eukaryotic LSU rRNA
Rfam family: 5.8S ribosomal RNA (bases 174-327)
Source: RNAcentral